Molecule: long non-coding RNA, 1633 nt
Filed under: Homo sapiens (human)
Lineage: Eukaryota; Metazoa; Chordata; Mammalia; Primates; Hominidae
Description: HSALNT0406189
Source: RNAcentral
GUCCAGGACUGCCCCCUCCUGGCCCACUCAGAGCCCCUGGGUGUGAGAAGCUCGUCUCCCGUGGGUUGCAUUGGCUCUGCCCUAUCUCUGCCUCCAGCACCCAGGGCGGCCGCAGAUGGCAGUGUCUCUGGGGACAGCAGCUGCGAAUGAGUCCACGGGCCAAUGCUGAGCUGCUCAGGCUGAGGCGGUGUGCUCAGCACAGAGCCCCCGGAACUGGCAUCUGCAGGGCGUGAGCUUCCCUCACAGGCCCACCUGGGAGUAGAGAGACAAGAGGAGCUGGAGUUUGGAGACGGAGGUCAGAAGAGUGAGGGCUUCUCUCCGACCUACCUGGAGUUCUUUCCAUCCAUCCCCCUGCUUUCCUCCCCAGAAGCAAGCCAAGGCCGCCGCGAUGCCGCACUUCCUGGACUGGUUCGUGCCGGUCUACUUGGUCAUCUCGGUCCUCAUUCUGGUGGGCUUCGGCGCCUGCAUCUACUACUUCGAGCCGGGCCUGCAGGAGGCGCACAAGUGGCGCAUGCAGCGCCCCCUGGUGGACCGCGACCUCCGCAAGACGCUAAUGGUGCGCGACAACCUGGCCUUCGGCGGCCCGGAGGUCUGAGCCGACUUGCAAAGGGGAUAGGCGGGCGGCACCGGGCGCCCUCCCCCAGCCCGCCCCGCCCGCCCAGCCCGGAGACCCCCAAGGCAGAGGGAGGCCGGCCUGUUGGCCCUCCACGCUAUCCCUCUGCAGCCUGGGCCCUCCCGACAGAGGCCCCAGGUGCGCUGGCAGUGGAGGUGGGGCACUUAGGUGCCUGGCUGGCCCAGGGCUUGCUCUCCGUGUCAAGCCGACUCACCCAGAGCCCACCCUCCCAAGCUCAGGGGCAUCCUCCGCUGGGCCCCAGUGCCUUUGCGCUGCGCAGCACUCUGCCCUCCACUGGACUCAGGCAUGUCUAUGGCUGCCUGUCCUGAGGCUCCGGAGCCCUCAUUUCUUCGUGAAGUCCCCAGCUCCCCUGCCUCCACUCAAUGGCACCGGCCCUGCAACUUUAGGCAGGUCGAAGCCAACCCAAGGAAAGAACCUAAGAACCUCGUUUGGAGGGAUGUCAGCUUGGGCCAGACCAGCCGCACCCCGCGGGGCUCAGGCUUGGAACUGGUGAGGGUGUGUGGUGGGGGUAUGCAGAGGGAUAAGACCGUGGUAGAGGAGAGGGUUGGUGAGGAGAGAGAGAGAGAGAGAGAGAGAGUCUGGGGGGAGCGGGCAAGCAUGGGGAGAUGAGAUGUGUAUAUGUGAGAGAGAGUGUGGGGGCCCCAGGCAGGGCAGGAGGUGGUGGAAACGGGGUGAACUCCGUGGGCUGUGUGAGGACUGUCCAUAGUGGGUCCCAACCCCCUCCCUCUGCUGGAGUUUCCUAGCCCUUCCCCCUCCCCAAGACUGUGGCAGCAGGCAGGAGCCCCUGCCCUCCCUCCCUGUCCUGUGCCACACUUCUGGGGCCAAACCCAGCCCCCUUGAGCCAGGCCCUGCCAGACUCCAAGCCCACCCUAGAACCCUCCUCCUGUGUGGAGACUCUGUUGCCCCACUUUGGACACAGAUUGGCAACCUGCCUCACCCCGCCCCCCUUCGCUGGGGCUUCCAUCUUAAUUUAUUCUCAAUAAUAAAGACUUCAUGAUG